This 2918-nucleotide ribosomal RNA is filed under the name Enterococcus thailandicus. Its description in RNAcentral is "bacterial LSU rRNA". It matches the Rfam family "Bacterial large subunit ribosomal RNA". The record is from RNAcentral. Lineage: Bacteria; Bacillati; Bacillota; Bacilli; Lactobacillales; Enterococcaceae.
AGGUUAAGUGAAUAAGGGCGCACGGUGGAUGCCUUGGCACUAGGAGCCGAUGAAGGACGGGACUAACACCGAUAUGCUUUGGGGAGCUGUACGUAAGCUAUGAUCCAGAGAUUUCCGAAUGGGGGAACCCAGCAUCUUUUAUAGGAUGUUACAAAUAUGUGAAUACAUAGCAUAUUUGAGGUAGACGCAGAGAACUGAAACAUCUAAGUACCUGCAGGAAGAGAAAGAAAAUUCGAUUCCCUGAGUAGCGGCGAGCGAAACGGGAAAAGCCCAAACCAACAAGCUUGCUUGUUGGGGUUGUAGGACUCCGAUAUGGUAGUUUUUUCAGAUAAUCGAAUGACUUGGAAAAGUCAGUCAAAGAGGGUAAAAACCCCGUAGAUGAAAUUUGGAAGACACCUAGGAGGAUCCUGAGUACGGCGGAACACGAGGAAUUCCGUCGGAAUCCGGGAGGACCAUCUCCCAAGGCUAAAUACUCCCUAGUGACCGAUAGUGAACCAGUACCGUGAGGGAAAGGUGAAAAGCACCCCGGAAGGGGAGUGAAAUAGAACCUGAAACCGUGUGCCUACAACAAGUCAAAGCCCGUUAAUGGGUGAUGGCGUGCCUUUUGUAGAAUGAACCGGCGAGUUACGAUUGCAUGCGAGGUUAAGUCGAAGAGACGGAGCCGUAGCGAAAGCGAGUCUGAAUAGGGCGUUUGAGUAUGUAGUCGUAGACCCGAAACCAUGUGAUCUACCCAUGUCCAGGUUGAAGGUGCGGUAAAACGCACUGGAGGACCGAACCCACGUACGUUGAAAAGUGCGGGGAUGAGGUGUGGGUAGCGGAGAAAUUCCAAACGAACUUGGAGAUAGCUGGUUCUCUCCGAAAUAGCUUUAGGGCUAGCCUCGGAAUUGAGAAUGAUGGAGGUAGAGCACUGUUUGGACUAGGGGCCCAUCUCGGGUUACCGAAUUCAGAUAAACUCCGAAUGCCAUUCAUUCAUAUCCGGGAGUCAGACUGUGAGUGAUAAGAUCCAUAGUCGAAAGGGAAACAGCCCAGACCACCAGCUAAGGUCCCAAAAUAUAUGUUAAGUGGAAAAGGAUGUGGGGUUGCACAGACAACUAGGAUGUUGGCUCAGAAGCAGCCACCAUUUAAAGAGUGCGUAAUAGCUCACUAGUCGAGUGACCCUGCGCCGAAAAUGUACCGGGGCUAAACAUAUUACCGAAGCUGUGGAUAACACCUAUGGUGUUAUGGUAGGAGAGCGUUCUAAGGGCGUUGAAGGUAGAUCGUGAGGACUGCUGGAGCGCUUAGAAGUGAGAAUGCCGGUAUGAGUAGCGAAAGACAGGUGAGAAUCCUGUCCACCGAAUGACUAAGGUUUCCUGGGGAAGGCUCGUCCGCCCAGGGUUAGUCGGGACCUAAGCCGAGGCCGAAAGGCGUAGGCGAUGGAUAACAGGUUGAUAUUCCUGUACCCGUUGUUUUUGUUUGAGCAAUGGAGGGACGCAGGAGGCUAAGGAAUGCAGACGAUUGGAAAUGUCUGUCCAAGCAGUAAGUCUUAGGUUGAGUCAAAUGCUUAAUCUUUUAAGGACAAGCUGUGAUGGGGAGGGAAAUAAUAGUACCGAAGUUCCUGAUGUCACACUGCCAAGAAAAGCUUCUAGUGAGAAAACAACGGCCCGUACCGCAAACCGACACAGGUAGUCGAGGAGAGAAUCCUAAGGUGAGCGAGAGAACUCUCGUUAAGGAACUCGGCAAAAUGACCCCGUAACUUCGGGAGAAGGGGUGCUGAUCGUCAGAUCAGCCGCAGUGAAUAGGCCCAAGCGACUGUUUAUCAAAAACACAGGUCUCUGCAAAAUCGUAAGAUGAAGUAUAGGGGCUGACGCCUGCCCGGUGCUGGAAGGUUAAGAGGAGUGCUUAGCGUAAGCGAAGGUACGAAUUGAAGCCCCAGUAAACGGCGGCCGUAACUAUAACGGUCCUAAGGUAGCGAAAUUCCUUGUCGGGUAAGUUCCGACCCGCACGAAAGGCGUAACGAUUUGGGCACUGUCUCAACGAGAGACUCGGUGAAAUUUUAGUACCUGUGAAGAUGCAGGUUACCCGCGACAGGACGGAAAGACCCCAUGGAGCUUUACUGUAGUUUGAUAUUGAGUGUCUGUACCGCAUGUACAGGAUAGGUAGGAGCCGUAGAAAUCGGAACGCUAGUUUCGAUGGAGGCGCUGGUGGGAUACUACCCCUGCGUUAUGGCCACUCUAACCCGCACCACUAAUCGUGGUGGGAGACAGUGUCAGAUGGGCAGUUUGACUGGGGCGGUCGCCUCCUAAAAGGUAACGGAGGCGCCCAAAGGUUCCCUCAGAAUGGUUGGAAAUCAUUCGAAGAGUGUAAAGGCAGAAGGGAGCUUGACUGCGAGACCAACAAGUCGAGCAGGGACGAAAGUCGGGCUUAGUGAUCCGGUGGUUCCGCAUGGAAGGGCCAUCGCUCAACGGAUAAAAGCUACCCUGGGGAUAACAGGCUUAUCUCCCCCAAGAGUCCACAUCGACGGGGAGGUUUGGCACCUCGAUGUCGGCUCGUCGCAUCCUGGGGCUGUAGUCGGUCCCAAGGGUUGGGCUGUUCGCCCAUUAAAGCGGCACGCGAGCUGGGUUCAGAACGUCGUGAGACAGUUCGGUCCCUAUCCGUCGCGGGCGUUGGAAAUUUGAGAGGAGCUGUCCUUAGUACGAGAGGACCGGGAUGGACUUACCGCUGGUGUACCAGUUGUUCUGCCAAGGGCAUUGCUGGGUAGCUAUGUAGGGAAGGGAUAAACGCUGAAAGCAUCUAAGUGUGAAGCCCACCUCAAGAUGAGAUUUCCCAUUUCUUUAAGAAAGUAAGAUCCCUGAGAGAUGAUCAGGUAGAUAGGUCAGAAGUGGAAGUACAGUGAUGUAUGGAGCGGACUGAUACUAAUCGAUCGAGGACUUAACCAAGAA